AUGGCAUCUAUGUAUGGAGAACUAAUAAGUGCAAAAAAGGAAAUCAAGGCUGCUGCUGAAAAUUCAAAAAAAGACUAUUUGCUGAUCACUAAUGCCAUGGAUAGCAAGAUGAGUGGGAGGUUGGAUUCUCCAUUGCACAUGGCACCAUACAUCUUGAAUCCGAAAUAUAGUUAUGCAGACCCGAGCAUCUUUACGGAUGUAGAGGUAGUAGCUGCACUUAUGGAAGUCAUGGAUACUUUUUAUUAUGAUGAUGACAUCAAGCAAAAUAAGGUGCUGAACAUUGACUUCACCAAGUUUAAAAAGAAAGAGGGUAUCUUUGGGAAGGUGGUUGCCAUGAAAGCAAUUAGCAAUGACAAUUUUGAUGCCGCUGAUUGGUGGUCAACUUAUGGAUUACAAACUCCUACGUUGCAACACAUGGCCAUAAGGAUACUUAACUUGACCACAAGUUCAUCCGGAUGUGAAAGAAAUUGGAGCACAUUUGAAAUGGUAGAUGCAAAGAGGAGAAAUCAACUAGAUGUGGCCCGUAGGGACAAUCUAGUUUAUAUCCAAUUCAAUGGAAGGAUGAUUGAUAAAAGAAAGAAGUUAUCCUCUUCUAGUGAUGUUCUUCUUGGUGAAGAUGCUUCACGAGCUCAAGAUUGGAUAUGUGAAGAUGCAUAUAUCGAUGAGGAGAUUGAUCCCACUACAGGCAUGCCGUACAGCAUCAUUGAUGAAGCAAUGGGGGCAAGCGAUCCUGUGGAGCUUCGUAGAAGUGCAAGAGUUAGAGAACUCCAUGAAGUUGAAGAAUUCGUUGAGGAUGAUGAUAAUGAAUCAGAUCAUGAGAUAGAGGAUGAUGGGAUUGAUUAUGAGUCCGAUGAUGAUGGAGUGAUGGCAACCAAAGACGAUGAUGAGGAGGAGGAACCCCCACAGCCUUGA
RNAcentral lists this ribosomal RNA (912 nucleotides) under Triticum aestivum (bread wheat). Its description in RNAcentral is "partial small subunit ribosomal RNA". The record is from RNAcentral. Lineage: Eukaryota; Viridiplantae; Streptophyta; Magnoliopsida; Poales; Poaceae.